GACGAACGCUGGCGGCGUGCUUAACACAUGCGAGUCGAACGGAAAGGCCCUGCUUUUGUGGGGUGCUCGAGUGGCGAACGGGUGAGUAACACGUGAGUAACCUGCCCUUGACUUUGGGAUAACUUCAGGAAACUGGGGCUAAUACCGGAUAGAACUCCCGCUUGCAUGGUGGGGGUUGGAAAGUUCCGGCGGUGGGGGAUGGACUCGCGGCUUUUCAGCUUGUUGGUGGGGUAGUGGCUUACCAAGGCUUUGACGGGUAGCCGGCCUGAGAGGGUGACCGGCCACAUUGGGACUGAGAUACGGCCCAGACUCCUACGGGAGGCAGCAGUGGGGAAUAUUGCACAAUGGGCGGAAGCCUGAUGCAGCAACGCCGCGUGCGGGAUGACGGCCUUCGGGUUGUAAACCGCUUUCGCCUGUGACGAAGCGUGAGUGACGGUAAUGGGUAAAGAAGCACCGGCUAACUACGUG
RNAcentral lists this ribosomal RNA (468 nucleotides) under uncultured bacterium. RNAcentral describes it as "partial 16S ribosomal RNA". It matches the Rfam family "Bacterial small subunit ribosomal RNA", at positions 28 to 507 of the family's 1533-position model. The record is from RNAcentral.